RNAcentral lists this ribosomal RNA (497 nucleotides) under uncultured bacterium. RNAcentral describes it as "partial 16S ribosomal RNA". It matches the Rfam family "Bacterial small subunit ribosomal RNA", at positions 28 to 507 of the family's 1533-position model. The record is from RNAcentral.
GACGAACGCUGGCGGCGUGCCUAAUACAUGCAAGUAGAACGCUGAAGGAAGGAGCUUGCUCUUUCUGGAUGAGUUGCGCACGGGUGAGUAACGCGUAGGUAACCUGCCUGGUAGCGGGGGAUAACUAUUGGAAACGAUAGCUAAUACCGCAUAAAAUUGAUUAUUGCAUGAUAGUCAAUUAAAAGGUGCAACUGCACCACUACCAGAUGGACCUGCGUUGUAUUAGCUAGUUGGUGGGGUAACGGCUCACCAAGGCGACGAUACAUAGCCGACCUGAGAGGGUGAUCGGCCACACUGGGACUGAGACACGGCCCAGACUCCUACGGGAGGCAGCAGUAGGGAAUCUUCGGCAAUGGACGGAAGUCUGACCGAGCAACGCCGCGUGAGUGAAGAAGGUUUUCGGAUCGUAAAGCUCUGUUGUAAGAGAAGAACGAGUGUGAGAGUGGAAAGUUCACACUGUGACGGUAUCUGACCAGAAAGGGACGGCUAACUACGUG